This 322-nucleotide long non-coding RNA is filed under the name Bos taurus (domestic cattle). Its description in RNAcentral is "long non-coding RNA NONBTAT025566". The record is from RNAcentral. Lineage: Eukaryota; Metazoa; Chordata; Mammalia; Artiodactyla; Bovidae.
UCCUGUGCCAGGCUUCCUUAAUGGAACGUGGUGUUGUGCCCAGAAGGAUGAAAUUUUCGAAAGAAAAGUUAUCAGUUGACGUUAUGAUGCCCAGUUGCUGUUAAAGGACUAGGAUAAAACUGAUUAAAACUUAGAUGGUAUUAAGUCGCUAAGGUAACGUUUACAUCGCAAUAAGACAUUUUCCCUUUAAUUUCAAAGAUUUUCAUAAUAAUGAAAAUAAGCUACUGCCAUUUGUUGAAAGAAUGUUUAAGAGACUUGCAGCUUAUCUAGCUGUGCCCUUGCAAAAAUUAAAUUUGUCCGCCAUGAGUCCUCAAAAUUUUGU